CCUACGGGAGGCAGCAGUGGGGAAUCUUGCGCAAUGGGCGAAAGCCUGACGCAGCAACGCCGCGUGCGGGAUGAAGGCCUUCGGGUUGUAAACCGCUUUCAGCAGGGAAGAAAUUGACGGUACCUGCAGAAGAAGCCCCGGCCAACUACGUGCCAGCAGCCGCGGUAACACGUAGGGGGCGAGCGUUGUCCGGAUUUAUUGGGCGUAAAGAGCUCGUAGGCGGUUCGGUAAGUCGGGUGUGAAACCUCCAGGCUCAACCUGGAGACGCCACCUGAUACUGCUGUGACUAGAGUCCGGUAGGGAAGUGUGGAACUCCUGGUGUAGCGGUGAAAUGCGCAGAUAUCAGGAAGAACACCAGCGGCGAAGGCGGCACUCUGGGCCGGUACUGACGCUGAGGAGCGAAAGCGUGGGUAGCAAACAGGAUUAGAUACCCUGGUAGUCCACGCCGUAAACGUUGGGCACUAGGUGUGGGUCUCAACCAACGAGAUCCGUGCCGCAGCUAACGCAUUAAGUGCCCCGCCUGGGGAGUACGGCCGCAAGGCUAAAACUCAAAGGAAUUGACGGCUGAGAGNGCGAGCGACGACGAGGAGAG
Molecule: ribosomal RNA, 592 nt
Filed under: uncultured bacterium
Lineage: Bacteria
Description: bacterial SSU rRNA
Rfam family: Bacterial small subunit ribosomal RNA
Source: RNAcentral